UCCGCUCUUUUGAUGAUCGCCCCCUCUUUUAGAGGUGGGAGGAACGUCCGGGCACCAACGGAAUGCUAUGCGGGUAACACCCGUCGCCCCGUCCAUAAUCCAUAAAGACGUUGUAGGACCAGUGCCACAGAGACGAGUCCCCUUCGGGGGAAGUGAAACGCCUCGGAGUACCGAGGAUUCCCUAGGGAAUCGGUAAACUCAUGGUGGUGCAAGGAGGAUUUGGGUGAUUGGAAUCUGUACUGAUUCCGGUAUACCAAUUACCCCUCCGCGCUUGAGGUCGCAAGUAAUUGCGAUCCCAGAUAGAUGAUCAUCCCUGCCUCGGCAGCGACAGAACCCGGCGUAUAAAGAGCGGACCAA
Molecule: RNase P RNA, 357 nt
Filed under: Candidatus Peregrinibacteria bacterium
Lineage: Bacteria; Candidatus Peregrinibacteriota
Description: RNase P RNA component class A
Rfam family: Bacterial RNase P class A
About the family: Ribonuclease P (RNase P) is a ubiquitous endoribonuclease, found in archaea, bacteria and eukarya as well as chloroplasts and mitochondria. Its best characterised activity is the generation of mature 5'-ends of tRNAs by cleaving the 5'-leader elements of precursor-tRNAs.
Source: RNAcentral